This is a long non-coding RNA of Balaenoptera acutorostrata (minke whale), 1404 nucleotides long. RefSeq lists it as uncharacterized. The record is from RefSeq and is a predicted model, not a curated record. Lineage: Eukaryota; Metazoa; Chordata; Mammalia; Artiodactyla; Balaenopteridae. The transcript is spliced from 3 exons.
GGAGGGCGGCGGGGACCCGAAGCGCACGGAGGAGGCGGUGCGAGCGGCUGUCCGAGCCGAGGGCGUCCGCCCAGACGGCCACCGUCGCUUGAGCGCGCGGUGCGUGAGCUCAGGCUCGUAUUGCUGACAAACGGCGGGUGGACGAAGCCUGGAGGGGGCGACACCGGCUGCAGCGCUCGAGGGAGUAAGAAGACACGGAGUGAAGAGCUGCCUCAUUUUCCAGAGAGAAUAGGGGCACUGAGAGCUUGGAGGGACGGUGGUAGCUGUCACAGUGUUUUGUCCUGAUUUUUUUACCUCUUGGAAUCCAGAAUGGGCCCCUUCCCCACCCCGCCAGCUGGAUGAGUGAUCACAGUGGAAUAAUGAUGCCAGGAGGCUCAGAGGCCUCUGGAUGCAAAGGUGCCCUGCUGGGUGGUUUUCAACAGGAACCUGUGGAUCAGACUAAAGUGUGACCACCAGGAAAUGAAGACACGGGACGAGCCCUGGGGCAUGAAUGUCCAAGUCCGGCAUCAGUCCCAGCCAGAGGAGGAGAGUGAGGUUGGUCCCUGCAGGACCGCUAGCCUGCCUCGUCCACAAGCAGCCUCUUGCUGUGAAAUAAAAGCAGAGACAGACUGAGGGAACCGAGGAGCGGUUUAAUGGAGGAAAAGAUAAGGAAACCUCAGGGACUCGCCAUUACUCAUUGAUUUCUCGGUAUUGGCUGGCUGCUGGCCUCCGAGGGGCACAGAGAGGCUCCUGGCGGAUCCUGUGAGCGGGCAAGUUUGGGGGACCCUAAAUGCCCAAGUGAUGGGCCUUGGAGCUGACUUGUUCCAUGAACCAGUAGCUCCUACAGGUACCGCUGGCCAUGCUCGCAGGUGAGCGUGGUUGCGGAGGAAUAGGAGCGGGCCCGCCAGGCCGGCACCUACGGGAACCCGCGCGGCGGGAGAGGCGGGGCACGGUCCUCUCUGCGCAGCCGCAGCGGCCUGUGGGAGGAGCUGCCUCUGCCCCACGCAGCGUGUCCGCUCACGUCCCAAGCCCCGCCUCUGCACCCGAGAGCCGCCCUCCCUCGUGGGGGCGGUGCUAGAGGGCCGGCCUGGCGCCGUGGAAGGGCGGCGGCUGUGGGGGAGGUGCGAGCCGGAUGGAAGCCUGACUGGGAUCGGAAAGCCCCCCUCCCGCGUCGGCUGGGACCCCACCGCGCAGUUCCACGGUGGCCUCGGAACCCGGAGGGCCCGGGCCUGCGGCUCUGCCACUCAAGGGCUGUGUCACCUUGGAAAAGUUACCUAAACCUCGUUGUGUACCCCAGUCUCCUCCUCUGUCGCAUGGUGAUCCUGAGUCCCGACCCGACUGGAUGGCUGUGAAGUUUAAAUGAGGUAAUAAGUGCUGAAGGUUCUUUUGAGCAGGGUUUCUUUUACUUAGAAAGAUUUUUAAAAA